Cannabis sativa is the source of this 742-nucleotide long non-coding RNA. RefSeq lists it as uncharacterized. Lineage: Eukaryota; Viridiplantae; Streptophyta; Magnoliopsida; Rosales; Cannabaceae. The record is from RefSeq and is a predicted model, not a curated record. The transcript is spliced from 3 exons.
UAUAUAAAGGAAUGCACAAAGACUUCCAUGUGGCAAGCUUAAUUGUUAUUUUUUCCUAAUCUCUCUACUCUUAAUUUUUCUGAUUUAUUCCUAAUCUUUCUAAUUUAUUUAAAUUUUUAUUAGUCAAUUAUUUUUUAAAUUUUAAUUAAUAUUAUUUAAACUCAUUGAUUGGUUUUGAUGGGUGUUAAUGGGUUUAAAUUUUUAUUAAUAUUGUACUGUAUUUUUUCAUCUCCACCAUCGUUUGCCUUUUAAUCUUCUCUCUUCACCUACCUAUUGUUCUCUUAUAUUUUGCCAAAGGUGCUCAUCUCUUUUCCCAUCCAUUUCACUACAGUCAUAAAGUAAAGAUCACAGCACAUGAAGAGUGAGUUUUUUCUUUGAAAAUGGAUGAUCGAGAAGGUCAAAUAUUUUUCAUUGGGAACAAUGAGAGAAUGGUUAGUAAUUUGAGAAGAUGGAAAACUUGCUGCUAGAGUAAUGUGAUGUGUGGUUAUUCAAGAUGAUGAUGUGCUGCCACUGAAAAAAGAUUUUUUUUAAUAAGAGAGCCUUGUAUUAUCUUUGGGUAAUUUAAAUAUUUAAUUGGUGUGGUCAGUGUUCUAAUAAUCUUAAUUAUUUUUUCUUUUGUUAUGGUUUGGUGCUUUGAACUUAAAACUUUUGGAUUGUUUGGUUAGUGAGAAAGUGAUUUCUUGAUGAUCUUUAAUUUUUUAUUUUUAUUUUUUUAAAUCAGAUCUUCUGAUGAUUUCAGUCA